RNAcentral lists this ribosomal RNA (253 nucleotides) under uncultured bacterium. Its description in RNAcentral is "partial 16S ribosomal RNA". It matches the Rfam family "Bacterial small subunit ribosomal RNA", at positions 524 to 776 of the family's 1533-position model. The record is from RNAcentral.
UACGGAGGGGGCUAGCGUUGUUCGGAAUUACUGGGCGUAAAGGGCGCGUAGGCGGGAUGGCAAGUCGGUCGUGAAAUCCCUCGGCUCAACUGAGGAACGUCGAUCGAUACUGCUGUUCUUGAGGAUUGCAGAGGAGACUGGAAUUCCCGGUGUAGCGGUGAAAUGUGUAGAGAUCGGGAGGAACACCGGUGGCGAAGGCGGGUCUCUGGGCAAUUCCUGACGCUGAGGCGCGAAAGCGUGGGGAGCAAACAGG